UAUCGCGGUGCCGAGAUGAAG
Molecule: non-coding RNA, 21 nt
Filed under: Caenorhabditis elegans
Lineage: Eukaryota; Metazoa; Nematoda; Chromadorea; Rhabditida; Rhabditidae
Source: RNAcentral